CGCGGGGUGGAGCAGCCCGGUAGCUCGUCAGGCUCAUAACCUGAAGGUCACAGGUUCAAAUCCUGUCCCCGCUA
This 74-nucleotide transfer RNA is filed under the name Prosthecobacter dejongeii. It matches the Rfam family "tRNA". From Rfam's summary of the family: Transfer RNA (tRNA) molecules are approximately 80 nucleotides in length. Their secondary structure includes four short double-helical elements and three loops (D, anti-codon, and T loops). Lineage: Bacteria; Pseudomonadati; Verrucomicrobiota; Verrucomicrobiia; Verrucomicrobiales; Verrucomicrobiaceae. The record is from Rfam by way of RNAcentral. RNAcentral also lists the same sequence under 1 other name.